Molecule: long non-coding RNA, 1976 nt
Organism: Malaclemys terrapin pileata
Lineage: Eukaryota; Metazoa; Chordata; Testudines; Emydidae
Exons: 3
Source: RefSeq, a predicted model, not a curated record
CACACACACACACACACACACACACAGCUUCGCUCAUCCGGCCCCCUUUGCCAAUGCACCACCUCUCCUCGUCCAUGGAGGUCUAGGCGGGGAGCUCCGUGCGGGAGCAGCGAUGGACGGCACCAUCAAGCGACUGUCCAGUUUGGCCGAUGUACAUAGCAGAGGGGCAUUGCUGGCACGUGAUGGCGUAUAUAACAUCGGUGGAUGUGCAGAAUUCCCCCGGGGUAAAGGAUAUUGACUUUUGAAGGAGAUGCUAAAAUGAGAAGCUAUGACCAAGUUCUGUCAUAGACCAGGCAGUGCCCUGAGUGAUCCAGAAGCUGGUGCUUCCUUAAAAUGCCUGCAAGGUGUGAUCAUCCAACAGUUCCCCUUUCAGGAAGAUGAUUGCCAUAUUACACGCCUCCAGCCUACUCCCUACACUGAGGUAUCACCCUGUGUGGUGUUUGAGGAGGGAGGAACUGAAGAGAGACUCAGUAUUUGCUGGGCAGAAGAUGGCCCACUCUUCAGUUGAUCUGCCUAAGACUGUGAAGUUGGAGAUGAGGAAGAUCUCUGUCUCAAGGAAAAAGAAGCACAAACAGUUCCAUCAGCACAAUCCCAUUUUACCACCUCUCCGUAAGAUCUGUAUCAAUCUGCUGCAUUGUAAACUCUUUUGGGCAGACAUUGUAUGCUGCUCUUUAAAGCUCUGAUGACAUGAUAUAAAUUGGAAAGUAAAGAAUCAUUCUUUCUUGAUGUAAAUGCUAAGAUGAGAAGCAAUAGUUGGGGGAAGAUGUCGGUCGGCCAGUGUCCUGAGGAAUUUGGUGCCUCCUUAGAAUGCCUGGAGCAACAUAAUCAUCUUGUAUUUACGUUUUCAGGUAGAUGGCAACUCUAUUCCAUGCUUUACCCUGAGCUUUUACUGACCCCUCCCUGCACAAAAGAAAGAUGUACCCGCACAGUAGAUCUCCUGUACUCACUGACUGGAAGAGGGUCUGCUCUAAAUUAAAUAGUAGUAAACUCCUUUGCCAAAGCAGUAACUGAGGCUUGGUCUACACUGGGGGGGAUCGAUCUAAGUUACGCAACUUCAGCUACGUGACUAAUGUAGCUGAAGUCAACGUACUUAGACCUACUCACCGCAUGUCUUCACUGCGGUGAGUCGGCUGCUGCCGCUCCACUGUUGACUCUGCCUGUUCUUGUCGCGGUGGCAGAGUACAGGAGUCGAUGGGAGAGCGCUAGGGGGUCGAUUUAUCGCAUCUAGACUAGAUGUGAUAAAUCAACCCCUGCUGGAUCGAUCACUGCCCACUGAUCCGACAGGUAGUGUAAACAUACCCUGAGUCUUUGAAUCACUCUGCAAAUAUGUUAAGACUUUCCCCUUCCACUGAAGUGCAGUGAUAGGGGAGAAUAGGACAAUCACUAACUAGAUAGAAGCAGGAUGAAGUCAGGAUUACGGGAAAGGUGUAUUUGCAUUGCAAGAGAAUGUUAACGUGAGGAGGAAUGGUUGGAGCUGGUUGUUGGUCAGAAAAUGCCCAGGGUGAGAGAGAAUGUAGUUCUUCCUUACAAUGACUGCAGAGAAUAUAUUUUUAUGUGUUUAUCUUUUUAGAAAUGUGGUAACCAUAUUGUCUACACCCAAAGCCCUGCACAAACUUGGACAUGCACCCUCCCCAAUAUACAUACAGAUAGAGAAGUGAAGAAAUCCCAAUACUCACUCAGGGUUAGAGAGUCCAGUCUGUUUGAGGAAAUUUUCAUAAAUCGCCCAGAACUGAGCCUCGGGGCGUACAGGGUCAGGCAAGGGAGAGUCACUGAUCAAGUGACGCCAUGCUGGAGUAUUCAUCCUAAAAUAACAUGAAUGGAAAGGAAAUAGGAGUAUCAGGAAAGGAAUUCUCUCCUGUAUCUCCUGCCUCCUCAUAUACCAUAAUUUACAUUAAUAACACUGAAUGAUCCCAUGGCCUGGUAAAAUCAAUGUUAAUGUGACUUUCUUCCAUCCUCUAAUAAAAUCUCUAUUGUUU